GGUUAAUGCUAGCUACAGGCUUAACACAUGCAAGUCGAGGGGUAACAAGAGAAAAGCUUGCUUUUCUUGUUGACGACCGGCGCACGGGUGAGUAACGCGUAUCCAACCUGCCUAUAACUAGGGAAUAACCUUGCGAAAGUAAGACUAAUACCCUAUGAUUUCCUUUGAUGACAUCAGAUUAGGAAUAAAGAUUUAUCGGUUAUAGAUGGGGAUGCGUCUGAUUAGCUUGUUGGCGGGGUAACGGCCCACCAAGGCAACGAUCAGUAGGGGUUCUGAGAGGAAGGUCCACCACAUUGGAACUGAGACACGGUCCAAACUCCUACGGGAGGCAGCAGUGAGGAAUAUUGGUCAAUGGGCGGAAGCCUGAACCAGCCAAGUAGCGUGCAGGAUGACGGCCCUAUGGGUUGUAAACUGCUUUUAUACAGGAAUAAAGUUAGCCACGUGUGGUUAUUUGUAGGUACUGUAUGAAUAAGGACCGGCUAAUUCCGUGCCAGCCGCCGCGGUAA
Molecule: ribosomal RNA, 506 nt
Filed under: uncultured bacterium
Lineage: Bacteria
Description: partial 16S ribosomal RNA
Rfam family: Bacterial small subunit ribosomal RNA
Source: RNAcentral